UGCCACAGCCAUAUCAACCUGCAGCCCAAGACCGGUUACUCACUGAAGCUAAGCAGGUCUGAGCCUGGUCAGUACCUGGAUGGGAGACCACUAGGGAACACUAGGUUGCUGUUGGAA
Molecule: ribosomal RNA, 117 nt
Filed under: Danio rerio (zebrafish)
Lineage: Eukaryota; Metazoa; Chordata; Actinopteri; Cypriniformes; Danionidae
Source: RNAcentral